UCACUCUGGGCAUCGGUGCCCUCUCUGGGG
Molecule: non-coding RNA, 30 nt
Filed under: Homo sapiens (human)
Lineage: Eukaryota; Metazoa; Chordata; Mammalia; Primates; Hominidae
Source: RNAcentral